Molecule: ribosomal RNA, 919 nt
Filed under: uncultured Methanosaeta sp.
Lineage: Archaea; Methanobacteriati; Methanobacteriota; Methanomicrobia; Methanotrichales; Methanotrichaceae
Description: bacterial SSU rRNA
Rfam family: Archaeal small subunit ribosomal RNA
Source: RNAcentral
UUUCCGGUUGAUCCUGCCAGAGGUUACUGCUAUCGAGGUUCGACUAAGCCAUGCGAGUCGAAUGUAGCAAUACAUGGCGAACUGCUCAGUAACACGUGGACAACCUGCCCUUAGGUUGGGUAUAAACCCGGGAAACUGGGUAUAAUACCCGAUAGGUCUCGAUUGCUGGAAUGCAUCGAGAUUUAAAGCUCCGGCGCCUAAGGAUGGGUCUGCGGCCUAUCAGGUAGUAGUGGGUGUAGCGUACCUACUAGCCUACGACGGGUACGGGUUGUGAGAGCAAGAGCCCGGAGAUGGAUUCUGAGACACGAAUCCAGGCCCUACGGGGUGCAGCAGGCGCGAAAACUUUACAAUGCUGGCAACAGCGAUAAGGGAACCUCGAGUGCCAGGUUACAAAUCUGGCUGUCGAGAUGCCUAAAAAGCAUUUCAUAGCAAGGGCCGGGCAAGACCGGUGCCAGCCGCCGCGGUAACACCGGCGGCUCGAGUGGUAACCGUUAUUAUUGGGUCUAAAGGGUCUGUAGCCGGCCGGAUAAGUCUCUUGAGAAAUCUGGCAGCUUAACUGUCAGGCUUUCAGGAGAUACUGUCUGGCUCGAGGCCGGGAGAGGUGAGAGGUACUUCAGGGGUAGGGGUGAAAUCUUGUAAUCCUUGAGGGACCACCAGUGGCGAAGGCGUCUCACCAGAACGGACCUGACGGCAAGGGACGAAAGCUAGGGGCACGAACCGGAUUAGAUACCCGGGUAGUCCUAGCCGUAAACGAUGCUCGCUAGGUGUCAGUCACGGUGCGACCGUGAUUGGUGCCGUAGGGAAGCCGUGAAGCGAGCCACCUGGGAAGUAUGGCCGCAAGGCUGAAACUUAAAGGAAUUGGCGGGGGAGCACUACAACGGGUGGAGCCUGCGGUUUAAUUGGAUUCAACGCCGGAAAU